CUUCCACCCCUCACUGCAGGCUUAGACGGCACACGGCUGGCGCAGGAGCGGAGCGGAGGUGAGCAUGUGGUCGCACCGCCCACCGCCGCCAUAGCGUAGGCAUGCCAAGAAGUUGGUGAGGAAGAGAGCGGGUAGGGAAGGGGGUGCGGCAAGAAAGGAGAGACGGGGAGAGGGAGAGGUGGGAGGGGCCGCCGUAGAUCGAGCGGCUUUGGGUCACUCCUGGGACUUUGAAGAAGCGGCCACGUGGUCUUUGGGCUUCGUCUCCAUCUCCUAGUGGAGCUAGAAGGCCGGCAGGUGACCAACCACCAACGACGGACCCUUUCCUUCACGACGACGAUCGACGGUUCUGCCGAGGUGGCGCACACCGAGGCCGAGAAGGGCGGCAGGGCCCAGUGAGACCGGAAGGAGCACCGCGGGGGCGAAGCAGCGUGCGACUUAUUACCCCACACCCCCCGUGUGCUCGUGCGGUAGAGGCGCGGCAGCGACGACGGCGCCUCAGAGAGAGGGUAUCUGUUGCCGAUUCGUCAUUCGUGUACUGUACUAGUGGCGGCGCGAGACAAAACCUUCCACUAGCCCUAAGACUAAGUCACCGGUACCGGUCCUACUCGACGAAGAGGUAGGACGAGUGGCCGGCCUCCGUCUUUGCUCACGUCCAACCACUACGGCCGUUCCUACGACCUUGACCCUCGCUCGCGGUUUACCACUUCGGCCACCGCCACCUCAGAUGACUGCGCGACGGCCGCCAACGGCGACGGCACCACCUCUUUACGCCGCUGUUCUAGCAGCGGCUACACCACUAGCACCACCGCGUGUUCCCGCGGUCACUCCACAGCGGUCGUUCUAGCCUGUCAGACAGACUGCUGUAACUAAAGCUCAAGGUGGGCGUCGUGUUCAGGCAGCGGCAGCCGAGGCUGCAGGUCCCUGGCCUCUUCGUACGGCGACCGUGGCAGGGCCUGCGCGGCCACUAGCGCUCGCGGCCCCUCCUCCGACGCCGUCGCCUCCACCUCCAGCUGGGCAGCCGCUUCGAGUUCGCGAGCACGAGGUUGUAGCUCUGCUUCGCCGGACCGGGCUCCCUCCAGGGCCCGUGCGCCCACGCCAGCGCGAGGAUGCCGCUGGACGGCCCGCUGGAGAAGUACCAGUGGUGGUGCGCGGCGCGCGUGCUCCGCUCGGGGCUACGCAGCCACUUCUGCAGCGCGUGGCGGCUGCCGCACUACGAGUUCGCCGCCAGCAGGUCGGUCCACGACGGCAGCGCCUCGGCCUUCGACACCACCGCCGAGAAGGAGACCUCGGUGGCGUUGGACGUGGCCGGGACCAGCCGCGCGGGCUCGCUGCGGCUACGGCCGUGAGGGGCACCGCCCAUGUGCAGCCUGUGCGAGCUCCUUGGCCGGCUGGCGUUUUUGUUCUUCGGCUACCACCUGCUCAGCGGCGGCGUCGGCGGCAGCGUCUUGGUCACCCACCGGAAGACGCGGCUGGUGAGGGACUCGCUGGCGCAGUCGCUGACCCACUCGUCGUAGCUGUUGUCGCCCACGGAGGCGUAGCGGCUCCUCGUGUUGUUGCCACCGCUGGUACCGUACCUGGAGUGCCUGCUGAGGCACCGCGCGGGCGCAGGGUAGCUCCGGCCCCUCAGCAGCCCGUUCCCGGUGCCGUCCCGGUUCGCCACGCGCCGCCGCCUGCUGCACCGGGUCCGGUUGUCGUAGCAGGUCAGGGAGUUGCCGAAGAGCAGGCACCGCGUGUAGAGGCCGUACCCGGAGUUCCAGCACGGGUACUAGCGCGGGAAGAGGUUGGAGGCGCGGCAGUUGGAGAGGCCGUUGAAGUAGCAAGUAUAGAGCGGGCCUAGCGACGGCUUCCCGGACGUGAGCGACCUAGACAGCGCCUUGUUCUAGCGUUUGCAGCUCCCCGAGGCCCUCGACUGCUUCGACGCGCACGAGUUGGAGUCGAUGUUGGCCUAGAGCGCGUAGCCGGUGCCCGACAGCUUGACGUGCCGCUAGUCCCUCGACGUGGACCGCCCCUUGUUCUAGCCGCUGCACCUCCCCGACGUGGCCGACGACUCCGACCGCCACGACCUGGACCCGAAGUUGUCCGAGUGGUGCCGGUUCCGCGACCCGGUCGACCACCGGUUGAUGGUGAGGGAGGAGCGCGAGUUGGACCACCCGUUGGGGCACGUCCGGUUGCAGCCGCUGCUGCGCGACGCGUUCCGGCAGUGGCUGGAGGAGGGCGUCGAGCGUAUGGAGUUGUUCGUCGGGGAGUUCGGCGCCCUCUGCCGGUGGCUGUCGCAGCGCGCGCGCCGCGAGCCGUGCCCUCCCGCGUCCGCCCCCCGCAGCGCCGCGGACUCGGUCUCGGGGCCCAGUAGCAGCAGUAGCAGCAGCUCUUCGUCCAGGUUUCCGUCCGUCGUGGUGCCGAGCUCGUACUGCCGUUCCUUCACUUGUUACUAGUUAAGAAAAAUGAGGGUUGUUGUCUCCUGCGACGGUGUAACCAUAGGUUAGUCAGGAGCGGCCGGCGAACCGCCUCGCACAGCGGCGGAAGGACGACUAGUGUCACCCUCAACACACCUGAGCAUCUAACAACCUCUGGUAAACCCUCGUAGGUUCCACAGUUCUUUAAACGCUCCCAAACCUCAAACGGUAUUCUUGAUGGCCAUGGGUUCCCUCCUCGGGGCCGUACCCAACCAGCUGCGAGAGCCUGUUCUUCCCACUCUGCAGUCAACACCAACUCCCGUAAACAAAAGAGAUGGAGAAGCCGCCUUUAAUCGUAAGGAAACUCUUGUACUUGAACCCCUAUGUAGAAACAGAGGUGGUGAAACCAAUAGAGCGACGAAACACAAUAUGAUCUACUGGCCAACGCGGUUUGCCGUAUCACAGGACAAACUUUGGUACUCACGAAACCUUUAUUAACGUAAGCAAUCAUUGAAGUCUACACUCCUUGGUGAAUCCCAUGGUUGUGUUUGAGAAAAUUAGUUUUUUAUUCUUCCUAAAGAGAAAUGU
This 2981-nucleotide ribosomal RNA is filed under the name Triticum aestivum (bread wheat). RNAcentral describes it as "partial small subunit ribosomal RNA". The record is from RNAcentral. Lineage: Eukaryota; Viridiplantae; Streptophyta; Magnoliopsida; Poales; Poaceae.